CAACUUUUUCCUCAUUACAAAAUUAAGCCAUUUCAUAACAACACAUUUGAAAAAGAAAAGCACAGUGAAUACAACAAAAAUGAUCAAUACUUUAAAUGGACUGGGGGGUGGGGAACAGUAAGUUGUUAUUUUAGAGGCGUCUGUUGUAAACAUUGCUCAGAACACAUCAUAAGGGAUCUUCCCACUGGUUGUUAUCACGAGAGGUCAGAUGUUCGCGUGUUGGUGUGGCUUCAAGCAGGGGACUUGUUGGAGCUGAGCAAACACAACCGGCAAAGCACAAGGGGCAGGUUCGGGCCUCUGAAAUACUCAUGCAACAGAUACCUGAGCCUGUGAUAACCCUGAGGAAACUGCCCUCCACUGCAGACUAUGAGACUGUAGGCUGUUCAUCGAGAUGACUGGGCUGUUUGGCCUCUAAGGCCUUCACAGCCCUGACUGCCCUUACUCUUCACGUUAAUCCUCUGAGGUGCGGGCAGGCCAUGGAAAGCCAGGCCUCUUGGGACUCUCGAAGGAGUGGAAGCUAAAAACCCUGUGGCAGGUGAGGCUGGCUCCCUGGCGAGGAGGGAAGAUUCCCUCUGGCAGUGGUCCCAACCUCCCAACCUGACUUCAGAAGACAAUCAGGAGAGAAGUACUGACCACCUGCCCCAGGGGGCACAGCCGCGGGAGCAGUGCCCUAUUCUACCAUCAGGAGCCUCUUAACUGGACUUCUUGGCUGAAGAGCAGCUGUGCUCACCUGUGAAGUGGAGAUACUCAUUUCAAUUGAGCAGCUUGUUACAAGCAUGAAAUAAAACAAUCCUUGUAAAGCCCUUAGCUCUGGGUCUGGCCUUCAGCUACAGCCUGGUCAGCAGUAACUACUAAUGCUGCUGGAAAGACAGAAGCAGCAACAGGGAAAGAGGGCUUGGGAGGCAGAUCUGACUUCAAUGUCUAGAAGGGCUUUCUACCAGCGCUGCCCCAGGCACCUUGGAAAUUGGUGAGCUCCAUGUUCCUGAAAGCAUUCAAGCAGUCAGUGAUGGCUGAUGGGACCGGGAUAAAGGGUCACGCAGGGGACUACAGGGCUGGAUUUCAUCAUCUCAGGCCAGUAGCCACGUUCCCUUAUAAAGGAAAAGAGGAAAAUUCCUCCCACAGCACUGCCGGCAGGAAAAGGGGAGCAUGGGUAGAAGGGCAGGCCAGCUCUGCCUGAACCCCACGCUUAGUGGGGGCCAUGGAGAAAUGCCUCCUCUGAAGUUGACCUAAGGGCUGCUGAGCAUACAAGCCCACCGUGUAAAGCCCCUAGAUGAGAAAAAAGCUCUCAAUAAAUGUUCCUUUUCCUCUCCCUGACCUUCCAACGUCCUCCU
This is a long non-coding RNA of Rhinolophus ferrumequinum (greater horseshoe bat), 1331 nucleotides long. RefSeq lists it as uncharacterized. Lineage: Eukaryota; Metazoa; Chordata; Mammalia; Chiroptera; Rhinolophidae. The record is from RefSeq and is a predicted model, not a curated record. The transcript is spliced from 3 exons.